This 230-nucleotide ribosomal RNA is filed under the name uncultured bacterium. RNAcentral describes it as "partial 16S ribosomal RNA". It matches the Rfam family "Bacterial small subunit ribosomal RNA", at positions 524 to 752 of the family's 1533-position model. The record is from RNAcentral.
UACGUAGGGUGCAGGCGUUAAUCGGAAUUACUGGGCGUAAAGGGCGCGUAGGCGGACAGUUUAGUCAGAGGUGAAAGCCCAGGGCUCAACCUUGGAAUUGCCUUUGAUACUGGCUGUCUUGAGUUCGGGAGAGGUGAGUGGAAUGCCGAGUGUAGAGGUGAAAUUCGUAGAUAUUCGGCGGAACACCAGUGGCGAAGGCGACUCACUGGCCCGAUACUGACGCUGACGGC